This 253-nucleotide ribosomal RNA is filed under the name uncultured bacterium. Its description in RNAcentral is "partial 16S ribosomal RNA". It matches the Rfam family "Bacterial small subunit ribosomal RNA", at positions 524 to 776 of the family's 1533-position model. The record is from RNAcentral.
UACGUAGGGCGCAAGCGUUGUCCGGAUUUAUUGGGCGUAAAGAGCUCGUAGGCGGUCUGUCGCGUCGGAUGUGAAAACCCGGAGCUCAACUCCGGGCCUGCAUUCGAUACGGACAGACUUGAGUACUGCAAAAGAGACUGGAAUUCCUGGUGUAGCGGUGGAAUGCGCAGAUAUCAGGAGGAACACCGGUGGCGAAGGCGGGUCUCUGGGCAGAAACUGGCGCUGAGGAGCGAAAGCGUGGGGAGCGAACAAG